This 20-nucleotide small RNA is filed under the name Arabidopsis thaliana (thale cress). Its description in RNAcentral is "AGO1_2941". The record is from RNAcentral. Lineage: Eukaryota; Viridiplantae; Streptophyta; Magnoliopsida; Brassicales; Brassicaceae.
UUCUUGACCUUGUAAGACCC